Molecule: ribosomal RNA, 253 nt
Filed under: uncultured bacterium
Lineage: Bacteria
Description: partial 16S ribosomal RNA
Rfam family: Bacterial small subunit ribosomal RNA
Source: RNAcentral
UACAGGUGAUGCAAGCGUUAUCCGGAAUGAUUGGGCGUAAAGCGUUUGUAGGUGGUUUCGCCAGUCUAUUGUUAAAGAGUACAGCUCAACUGUAUAAAGGCAAUAGAAACUACGAGGCUCGAGUGUGGUAGGGGCAGAGGGAAUUCCCGGUGUAGCGGUGAAAUGCGUAGAUAUCGGGAAGAACACCAAGAGCGAAAGCACUCUGCUGGGCCAACACUGACACUGAGAGACGAAAGCUAAGGGAGCGAAUAGG